Chinchilla lanigera (long-tailed chinchilla) is the source of this 2541-nucleotide long non-coding RNA. NCBI's taxonomy places the organism in Eukaryota, Metazoa, Chordata, Mammalia, Rodentia, Chinchillidae. The record is from Ensembl.
AGGGCGCAGCGCACCUGGCCGUUGGCGCCCGAGUCCCUGUCCGAGGUGCUGACCAGCGCCACCAGGCUCUCGCGCGCCGCCCCCUCCGGCACCAGCGAGGCGGCGCCGGCCUCGGGCGUCCCGGNNNNNNNNNNNNNNNNNNNNNNNNNNNNNNNNNNNNNNNNNNNNNNNNNNNNNNNNNNNNNNNNNNNNNNNNNNNNNNNNNNNNNNNNNNNNNNNNNNNNAGGCGGCGUCCGCACCCCCGAGGGCGGCGGCGGCGGCGGCGGCCGCAAAGGGCGAGGCGGCUGGAGCGCCCGGGGCGGCCAGAGGCGUGAUGGAGAUGUCCGGAGCGUUGUCGUUGACGUCGCGGAUGCGCACUAUGACCUUGCAGGUGGCCGCGCGCGGCCCAGUGCCGCGGUCCUGCGCCCGCACGUCCAGCUCGUAGGUGUCCUGGCGCUCGUAGUCCACCGGGCCGGCCAGAGUGAGGCGGCCCGAGCGCGGGUCGAGCCGGAAGAGGCGGCGCGCCUCGGGCGGGGUGCGCGCGCCAAAGGCGAACAUCACGUCGCCGUUGGGGCCCUCGUCCGGGUCGGCCGCGUCCAGGUCCAGGAGCAGCGAGCCCACGGGCGCGUCCUCCGCCAGCUCCACCUCGGCCACCGCGCCCUGGGGGAAGGCCGGGCUGUGAUCGUUGGCGUCCAGCACGCGCACGCUGAGGGCCGCGGUGGCGGAGCGCGGGGGGCGGCCGCCGUCCUGGGCCACCAGCUCCAGGCUGUAGGCGGCCUGGCUCUCGCGGUCCAGCUCCUGCAGCAGCACCAGAUCGGCACACUGGGCGCCGUCCGCGCGCGUCUGCAGCUCCACGCGGAAGGGGCUGUUCGGCUCGGUCAGGCGCAGGCUCUGCAGACCGUUCGCCCCCACGUCUUCGUCCACCGGCACCUCCAGGGGGAUGCGAGUGCCCACCGCCGCGCCCUCGGACACCUCCACGGGGAUCUGGGCCCGGGGGAAGCGCGGCGCGUGGUCGUUGACGUCCCUCACCUCCACCUCCACGUGCACCAGCCGGAACUGCUCCUGGGAGAAGCUGACCACGUCGAAGGCCAGCACGCACUGCGGCGCUUGGCCGCACAGCCGCUCACGGUCAAGGCCUGCGUCCCCGACGGUCAGCUGCCCGUCGCCCUCGCGCACCCGGAGCAGGGAGCUGUUGAACUGCUUCAGGUGGAUGUGGCUUGGCACCUUGUUCUUGGAAUUAAACUGAUCACGGUCAAAGAGAACACCAGUGACAGUACCAGAGGCUUCUUCCUCAUAGGAAUGCCUCAAAUUCCAAGUGAGCCAGUGAGAUUGACUUUGGUACUUGACCUUCAGUCAUGAAUGAAAGGAUCAAACAUUGUGUUCCUCUCACCCUGCAGGGAGGAGACUUUCUCACCCACCAUAGAAUAUAGGAAAGCAAGGGGAAAACAAAAGAAUAAAGACUGAGGAGUAACAUCUCAUCUGUGCUUAUUUUAACCCUCUCCUACUUUCCUCUUAUCUGAGGCCUUCUAUUACUUCCCAGCAUCAAAGCUCAUAUCCAUGACUAACUAGAGCACUUUCAGGCCCUUUAGAAGCAGUUAUUUGAUCACUUAUUGGUGAUUUAAUAAAGCACACAGCCUUGUUAGAAGAUAAUACUUCAGACAUUCACCUUUGUGAUUUAGAGAUGGUCACAAAUGCCAAAUGACAGAAAAAGUUAUAUAAAGUACAGAUGGGAAGUAAUCUCAGAGUUUGCACAUAAGAUUACAGUGAGCUAGAAUUGCCAGGGAUGGAAAGAAUCUGGCAGUGAUGUAAUCAUGAUGUGGAAAAGAGCAAACAGAGCUUGUAAAAGGCCCAAAGAGACCCAGUGGCUGGAAUGAAUGCUUCAAAAGGAAUGAUAUGUACGCUCAAAAGUCAAUACUUCUAAGGACGCAGUGAGAAAGCACUCAUGUUCGUGGACCAAGGAACUGUUGGCCCUAAGAAUCAGGGACUAGAGGGGCUUGGCCACAGUUAUACGAAAAAGAGUCUCCUGUUGAACAUAAUUCCUCUGAAAGCAACAAAGAACAAAUUUGAAUGCUUGGCACAGGUGAGAAAGACGUUGAUGGUAUGCUCAAAAGUCAAUACUUCUAAGGACACAGUCAGAAAGCACUAAGGUUCGUGGACCAAGGAACUGUUGGUGCGCAACUUAUUAUAAUAAAUAAUGUAGAUUAUUGCCUUCCCAAAACAUUGAUGAAAUGCUCAAGAUUUCAUCCAACUUUAAAUGAAUAUUCAAUAGAAUGAAUGCAUUAGAAUAUUCCUUGCAUGAAUGAUCAGGACCAAAUCAUAUUCAACCUCUGCCAACCUCAGUACUCCCCUGGUAGCACAAUGACUUAACGAGAAAUAGGACGCCAGAAGAAACCCAUUGAAGCCGCCUGCAGCAAUCUGAGUACAAGAUGUUGAAGGCCUGAACACUGAGUAGGAGGAUGCAUUGGGGGAAGAUCUGGAGAGCAUCAGGACGGAAGAGUUGGUAGGACUUCAUGAUAGAUGAGCUCGAGGAGAUGGACAAGAUGAAACAAAUAAAUUGCGCUA